GGGUCGUGAGCUCAGUUGGUAGAGCAGUGGACUUUUAAUCAAUUGGUCGCAGGUUCGAAUCCUGCACGACCCACCA
RNAcentral lists this transfer RNA (76 nucleotides) under Vibrio anguillarum. Its description in RNAcentral is "tRNA-Lys". It matches the Rfam family "tRNA". Rfam says of the family: Transfer RNA (tRNA) molecules are approximately 80 nucleotides in length. Their secondary structure includes four short double-helical elements and three loops (D, anti-codon, and T loops). Lineage: Bacteria; Pseudomonadati; Pseudomonadota; Gammaproteobacteria; Vibrionales; Vibrionaceae. The record is from RNAcentral.